RNAcentral lists this ribosomal RNA (253 nucleotides) under uncultured bacterium. RNAcentral's name for it is "partial 16S ribosomal RNA". It matches the Rfam family "Bacterial small subunit ribosomal RNA", at positions 524 to 776 of the family's 1533-position model. The record is from RNAcentral.
UACGAGGGGUGCAAGCGUUGCUCGGAAUUAUUGGGCGUAAAGGGUAGGUAGGUGGUCUCAUUUGUCUGGGGUGAAAGCCUUGAGCUUAACUCAAGAAGUGCCCCGGAAACGGUGAGACUGGAGUCUUGGAGAGGGUCGUGGAAUUCCCGGUGUAGCGGUGAAAUGCGUAGAGAUCGGGAGGAACACCAGAGGCGAAGGCGGCGACCUGGACAAGCACUGACACUCAACUACGAAAGCGUGGGGAGCGAACAGG